UUCUGCUUUUAACACGAAACCUCCUCCUGGUUGAACGUUCCUGGCGCGAUUGCUAAAACCCAGAGCGAGCCGUUCUAGUUUAUAAACUUUGCAAUAAAGUAAAGAAAGGAGGAUUCACUUUCGCACGUCAGCCGUCACUCACGUGCACGUACAUACGUGCAUCUCCACAUAUGCGUACUCAAUGUUUGCUGAUUCAAGGUCCCCGUGAUUCAUGUCCGUUUAUGAAAUGUAAUAUGCACAUUGUCGACGUAUGCACGCCGGAGUCACGGUCGUAACGAGCCAUGUUUCGUUCAUUACAAUACAUACCUACGCGACCGGGAGAGUGGACGCGCUGUUUCCGUAACGAGUGAAAAUUGGGGUCAAUCGCUCGAUUCCUCAUUCGCGCGCCUUCACGAUCAACGAGGCUGUGUUUUCCAUGAUGCCUGUUCUUGAUUUUCGAAGGAUAAAGCAGACGAAAUCAGCGACAUAAAAGGAAGAUCUAAUUGUCGGGAAUAUUGAACGCAUCCCUCAGAGGCUGAGGAGAACAGAUCAGAGAGACCGUGUGAAAGUACAGGCGCCAGGAAUUAAUAAUAGCGAACGGAGAGCGGUAGCUCAAUAACGCGGAAACAGCCGCGGCGAUAAAAGGGCUGUGUUCCCUGUCACGGCGAGGAAUUGUAGCGUCCCCGGGUGACAGGCAUGAAAUUCACGGCAAUACGAUGCGCGCACGUUCUUCUACGGAUCGCGGACCGGUCGUUCCACAAAUUAAUGCCGAACCGGAUGACGUUGAUUAAUAAUUGUAUAUGAUGCUGCAAGUCCGUGGGAAUCCGGAAUUUCAUGUUUUCAACUACACAAAUAUUCAAUUAUACUGUCGAUAAUCGAACACCCCUUUUGGAAACAUUUCUUUAGACAACAAGAAAAUUAAAUUAAUCACGUUUCCUGUAGAUAUUAACAGGAUUA
Long non-coding RNA from Ceratina calcarata, 936 nucleotides. RefSeq lists it as uncharacterized. The transcript has 3 exons. The record is from RefSeq and is a predicted model, not a curated record. NCBI's taxonomy places the organism in Eukaryota, Metazoa, Arthropoda, Insecta, Hymenoptera, Apidae.